AAUAGAUACCCUGGUAGUCCACGCCGUAAACGAUGAGUGCUAAGUGUUAGAGGGUUUCCGCCCUUUAGUGCUGAAGUUAACGCAUUAAGCACUCCGCCUGGGGAGUACGGCCGCAAGGCUGAAACUCAAAGGAAUUGACGGGGGCCCGCACAAGCGGUGGAGCAUGUGGUUUAAUUCGAAGCAACGCGAAGAACCUUACCAGGUCUUGACAUCCUCUNGACAACCCUAGAGAUAGGGCUUCUCCUUCGGGAGCAGAGUGACAGGUGGUGCAUGGUUGUCGUCAGCUCGUGUCGUGAGAUGUUGGGUUAAGUCCCGCAACGAGCGCAACCCUUGAUCUUAGUUGCCAUCAUUCAGUUGGGCACUCUAAGGUGACUGCCGGUGACAAACCGGAGGAAGGUGGGGAUGACGUCAAAUCAUCAUGCCCCUUAUGACCUGGGCUACACACGUGCUACAAUGGACGGUACAAAGAGCUGCAAGACCGCGAGGUGGAGCUAAUCUCAUAAAACCGUUCUCAGUUCGGAUUGU
This 525-nucleotide ribosomal RNA is filed under the name uncultured bacterium. Its description in RNAcentral is "bacterial SSU rRNA". It matches the Rfam family "Bacterial small subunit ribosomal RNA", at positions 777 to 1301 of the family's 1533-position model. The record is from RNAcentral.